Molecule: ribosomal RNA, 503 nt
Filed under: uncultured bacterium
Lineage: Bacteria
Description: partial 16S ribosomal RNA
Rfam family: Bacterial small subunit ribosomal RNA
Source: RNAcentral
AUUGAACACUGGCGGCAGGCUUAACACAUGCAAGUCGAGCGGGGUGAUGGUGCUUGCACUAUCACUUAGCGGCGGACGGGUGAGUAAUGCUUAGGAAUCUGCCUAUUAGUGGGGGACAAAAUCUCGAAAGGGAUGCUAAUACCGCAUACGUCCUACGGGAGAAAGCAGGUGAUCACUUGUGACCUUGCGCUAAUAGAUGAGCCUAAGUCGGAUUAGUUAGUUGGUGGGGUAAAGGCCUACCAAGGCGACGAUCUGUAGCGGGUCUGAGAGGAUGAUCCGCCACACUGGGACUGAGACACGGCCCAGACUCCUACGGGAGGCAGCAGUGGGGAAUAUUGGACAAUGGGGGGAACCCUGAUCCAGCCAUGCCGCGUGUGUGAAGAAGGCCUUAUGGUUGUAAAGCACUUUAAGCGAGGAGGAGGCUCUUUUGGUUAAUACCCAAGAUGAGUGGACGUUACUCGCAGAAUAAGCACCGGCUAACUCUGUGCCAGCCGCCGCCGUAA